CGGGUACUUSUGCAKAGMUGCCUYAGUGCCUUCSGGAACCGUGAGACAGGUGCUGCAUGGCUGUCGUCAGCUCGUGUUGUGAAAUGUUGGGUUAAGUCCCGCAACGAGCGCAACCCUUAUCCUUUGUUGCCAGCGGUCCGGCCGGGAACUCAAAGGAGACUGCCAGUGAUAAACUGGAGGAAGGUGGGGAUGACGUCAAGUCAUCAUGGCCCUUACGACCAGGGCUACACACGUGCUACAAUGGCAUAUACAAAGAGAAGCGACCUCSCGAGAGCAAGCGGACCUCAUAAAGUAUGUCGUARUCCGGAUUGGAGUCUGCAACUCGACUCCAUGAAGUCGGAAUCGCUAGUAAUCGUGGAUCAGAAUGCCACGGUGAAUACGUUCCCGGGUCUUGUACACACCGAA
RNAcentral lists this ribosomal RNA (405 nucleotides) under Enterobacter sp. 82(2012). Its description in RNAcentral is "bacterial SSU rRNA". It matches the Rfam family "Bacterial small subunit ribosomal RNA", at positions 991 to 1394 of the family's 1533-position model. Lineage: Bacteria; Pseudomonadati; Pseudomonadota; Gammaproteobacteria; Enterobacterales; Enterobacteriaceae. The record is from RNAcentral.